RNAcentral lists this ribosomal RNA (252 nucleotides) under uncultured bacterium. RNAcentral describes it as "partial 16S ribosomal RNA". It matches the Rfam family "Bacterial small subunit ribosomal RNA", at positions 524 to 776 of the family's 1533-position model. The record is from RNAcentral.
UACGAGGGGGCUAGCGUUGCUCGGAAUUACUGGGCGUAAAGCGCACGUAGGCGGAUCUUUAAGUCAGGGGUGAAAUCCUGGAGCUCAACUCCAGAACUGCCUUUGAUACUGAGGACCUUGAGUUCGGGAGAGGUGAGUGGAACUGCGAGUGUAGAGGUGAAAUUCGUAGAUAUUCGCAAGAACACCAGUGGCGAAGGCGGCUCACUGGCCCGAUACUGACGCUGAGGUGCGAAAGCGUGGGGAGCAAACAGG